UGGGGGCCCCGGUUCGCACCAGGGCCGGGCGGCGGGGUAGCUGCUCCGCGAUGGCAGCUGUCGUGUCACUAAGCUCUGCGAUCGUCCGAGGCCGGGCUGCGUCUUCGCGGAGAACGCCUGUAGUUUCUUCUGUUCACAUUGCGGGCUCGUCGUUUGUGUGGACCACACACGGGUCCCUUCCCGCGGGUGACAACAGGGAACGAGGCGGGCGAGCAAGGAGGUCGCCCAAUGCGCGGCUGUAGUCCUGCCCGGGCACGGUGGUCAGAGGCACUAAACAAAUGUUUGAGACCCGGAAAGUGGCCGGGGCAGUGCGGUGAGGGUACAAGGAAACGCGAGCCUGGCGCGGUCUUCAGUCCUGGGAGAGCCUCUCAACACGCGCGGACGGGAGACCGCUCAGAGGAGAGAAAUGCGAACUCAGAGGAAACGAGUGCGGAGUGGUGGUGCUGUGCCUUUUCCGCCCUGCGAUUCGAGAUUGUUCCGCUGGCGUUCAUGCUGUUUGGUUGUAGCCGGGCAAUCACCGCAGACAGUUACACCCCUUACAGACACUCUCUCUCUCCUGGGCACGAGGCUCCCUGGUUCAGAUCAUCCAUGACCCAUUUCUCUACACUCAAGGAGUUAUCUGGCCACGUUGGCUCCAGCUCUAAUGGAGUGAGUUGAGCAGUGAUGGACCCAGAGGAGAGUGGAGACAACAGGGCAUGAAGGAGAAAUAUAUUUUCAUGUUUGCUUACAAGGAACUCUAGAAGGAUCUGUAAGAAACAAAAUACUACCUGUGGAGGUCAGAUGGCCCUGGACACACAGACUAAAUGACAGGAGGCACAGAUUAGUGCAAAGUGUAUUUUCAGUAUCUGGAAUCAUGUGCCUGUAUUAUAAC
Molecule: long non-coding RNA, 871 nt
Organism: Bos taurus (domestic cattle)
Lineage: Eukaryota; Metazoa; Chordata; Mammalia; Artiodactyla; Bovidae
Source: Ensembl